CAGUCGCCGCGGUAAUACGUAGGUGGCAAGCGUUGAUCGGAAUUACUGGGCGUAAAGCGUGCGCAGGCGGUUCGUUAAGACAGAUGUGAAAUCCCCGGGCUUAACCUGGGAACUGCAUUUGUGACUGGCGGGCUAGAGUAUGGCAGAGGGGGGUAGAAUUCCACGUGUAGCAGUGAAAUGCGUAGAGAUGUGGAGGGAUACCGAUGGCGAAGGCAGCCCCCUGGGCCAAUACUGACGCCCAUGCACGAAAGCGUGGGGAGCAAACAGGAUUAGAUACCCGAGUAGUCCCUGUCUCUUAUAC
This 301-nucleotide ribosomal RNA is filed under the name uncultured bacterium. RNAcentral describes it as "partial 16S ribosomal RNA". It matches the Rfam family "Bacterial small subunit ribosomal RNA", at positions 509 to 807 of the family's 1533-position model. The record is from RNAcentral.